Molecule: long non-coding RNA, 1002 nt
Filed under: Populus trichocarpa (black cottonwood)
Lineage: Eukaryota; Viridiplantae; Streptophyta; Magnoliopsida; Malpighiales; Salicaceae
Description: long non-coding RNA (PTRI_LNC001625)
Source: RNAcentral
UCUCUUAUCAUGCAUGCAUGCAAUAUGCAUACAUCAGCCGACAUAUGUAUAUAUACAUAUACACACACUGCUAGGAGUAUUUAGCGAAAGUAGAAAGUAGUAGUGUCGGCACAACGGAUAGCCAUGGAAGCAACUAGCUAGCAAGCUCGGGUACGAGUAGAAGAGUAGAACCUACUGGGUCCCCUCCCUCCCUCAUCAUUAUCAUUAAUUAUUAUGCUUUCGUUUUUUUCUUGUUGCAAAAUGUGACUCCAUCUCCUCCAUAAUUAAGCACUUCCUACACUUUAACUCCCCGUGAAGUAAUCAACGAACAAGGAAACUAGUUAUGUUGUAUUAAAUACAACAGUGCUCCCUGAAAUCAAUGAAUAAUGAUGAUUGAUGACAUGCAUAGGUUUUGUAAUUGACAUAAAGCAAGUACUCCAGUAGCUCGAUCGGCUUACUGAAUUAUUCACGCAGAAACAUGGCAUGUGGUGAGCCCAUUUCUAUAUAUUUCAGAUCAGUGCAUGAUCAUCAUCGAUCAGGUGCACCUCAGCAAAGGAAAAUCUUAUUCUUGAUUCCCAGAGGAAUUAUAGGGGAUUACCAGAGAAUGGAAAAAGACAAGAACACGGUCACCUUCAGCUGCCACGACACAAAUCGCAACAUAACUAAUGUUGGAGCAUGAGUUCUAAUAAUGCAAAUAAAAGAAAAAUAUAGUCUUAGCUAAGCUAGGCCCGCGGGGCACCUUUGUUUUGGCGCAGGGAGCUCCAGAAAAUUCAGCGGCGGGUGUUGUAACUGUGAUGGAGAUCAGAUGAGGAGAAUAUCGUGCCCUCGAAGCACCAUAUUGCAUUCCUCCUUAGCUUUUGAUCAGAUCAUGCAUGCUGCUGCCUUCUUCUUUUAGCCAGGGGAAAUCAAAUACCCACAAUGCGAAACAGCUGUCUCCUGAUAUUUCAUAGCUCUUGUUUGUCACGACUCAAAUUUGAGCACGUGACCGGCACAUAGAUCAAGGAAUUAUAUAUAGUACUUAGU